RNAcentral lists this ribosomal RNA (239 nucleotides) under uncultured bacterium. RNAcentral's name for it is "partial 16S ribosomal RNA". It matches the Rfam family "Bacterial small subunit ribosomal RNA", at positions 15 to 235 of the family's 1533-position model. The record is from RNAcentral.
GAUCCUGGCUCAGGAUGAACGCUGCGGCGUGCUUAACACAUGCAAGUCGAACGAAGCACUCUAUUUGAUUUUCUUCGGAAAUGAAGAUUUUGUGACUGAGUGGCGGACGGGUGAGUAACGCGUGGGUAACCUGCCUCAUACAGGGGGAUAACAGUUGGAAACGACUGCUAAUACCGCAUAAGCGCACAGGAUCGCAUGAUCCGGUGUGAAAAACUACGGUGGUAUGAGAUGGACCCGCG